This 457-nucleotide ribosomal RNA is filed under the name uncultured bacterium. Its description in RNAcentral is "bacterial SSU rRNA". It matches the Rfam family "Bacterial small subunit ribosomal RNA", at positions 917 to 1382 of the family's 1533-position model. The record is from RNAcentral.
GGGCCCGCACAAGCAGUGGAGUAUGUGGUUUAAUUCGAAGAUACGCGAAAAACCUUACCAGGUCUUGACAUCGAGUGAAAGCUCUAGAGAUAGAGCCCCGCUUCGGCGCACAAAGACAGGUGGUGCAUGGUUGUCGUCAGCUCGUGUCGUGAGAUGUUGGGUUAAGUCCCGCAACGAGCGCAACCCUUACUGAUAGUUGCUACGCAAGAGCACUCUAUCGGGACUGCCGUUGACAAAACGGAGGAAGGUGGGGAUGACGUCAAAUCAUCAUGCCCCUUAUGACCUGGGCCACACACGUACUACAAUGGCCGUUAACAGAGGGAAGCCAAUCCGCGAGGAGGAGCCAACCCCUAAAAACGGUCUCAGUUCGGAUCGCAGGCUGCAACCCGCCUGCGUGAAGCCGGAAUUGCUAGUAAUCGCGGAUCAGCAUGCCGCGGUGAAUACGUUCCCGGGCCUU